UACGUAGGCAGCGAGCGUUGUUCGGAGUUACUGGGCGUAAAGGGUGUGUAGGCGGUUGUUUAAGUUUGGUGUGAAAUCUCCCGGCUCAACUGGGAGGGUGCGCCGAAUACCGAAUGACUAGAGUGCGGGAGAGGUGAGUGGAAUUCCUGGUGUAGCGGUGAAAUGCGCAGAUAUCAGGAGGAACACCGGUGGUGUAGACGGCUCACUGGACCGUAACUGACGCUGAGACACGAAAGCGUGGGUAGCAAACAGG
This 253-nucleotide ribosomal RNA is filed under the name uncultured bacterium. RNAcentral describes it as "partial 16S ribosomal RNA". It matches the Rfam family "Bacterial small subunit ribosomal RNA", at positions 524 to 776 of the family's 1533-position model. The record is from RNAcentral.